Molecule: microRNA precursor, 71 nt
Filed under: Procavia capensis (Cape rock hyrax)
Lineage: Eukaryota; Metazoa; Chordata; Mammalia; Hyracoidea; Procaviidae
Description: miRNA (ENSPCAG00000019683.1)
Source: RNAcentral
GGGUGUGUGUGUGUGUGUGUGUGUGUGUGUGUGUGUGCGCGCGCACGCACAUGCACACAUGCGCAUGUGCA